Long non-coding RNA from Oncorhynchus keta (chum salmon), 451 nucleotides. RefSeq lists it as uncharacterized. Lineage: Eukaryota; Metazoa; Chordata; Actinopteri; Salmoniformes; Salmonidae. The record is from RefSeq and is a predicted model, not a curated record. The transcript has 3 exons.
GGUGGGGUGGAGGAGAGGGAGAGGUGGGGUGGAGGAGAGGGAGAGGUGGGGUGGAGGAGAGGGAGCGGGAGAAGAGUGGUGGGGUGGAGGAGAGGGAGAGGUGGGGUGGACAAGAGGGAGAGGUGGGGUGGACAAGAGGGAGAGGUGGGGUGGACAAGAGGGAGAGGUGGGGUGGACAAGAGGGAGAGGUGGGGUGGACAAGAGGGAGAGGGAGAAGAGAGGUGGGGUGGAGGAGAGGGAGAGGUGGGGUGGAAGAGAGGGAGAGGGAGAGGUGGGGUGGAGGAGAGGGAGAGGGAGAAGAGGAACAAACAUUCUCAACAUUCCUACUGCAUAAAAUCUUAACAGUGGGAUUAAAACGUAGAAUGUAACACAAAUCACCACAGAGAACAAAUAGUCAUAAAGACGUGUAGGCCAAUGUGUAGAAUAAAGUUCUUACCUGAGCGGCUCGCAG